AUUGAACGCUGGCGGCAGGCCUAACACAUGCAAGUCGAACGAGUGGCGGACGGGUGAGUAAUGUCUGGGAAACUGCCUGAUGGAGGGGGAUAACUACGGGAAACGUUAGCUAAUACCGCAUACCAUCGGAUGUGCUCAGAUGGGAUUAGCUAGUAGGUGGGGUAAAGGCCCACCUAGGCGACGAUCCCUAGCUGGUCUGAGAGGAUGACGAGCCCCACUGGACCUAAGCACCGGCCCAGCCCCUUAGGGGAGGAAGCGGUGGGGAGCUUUGCCCAUUGGGGGCAAGCCUAAUGCAGCCAUGCCGCGUGUAUGAAGAAGGCCUUCGGGUUGUAAAGUACUUUCAGCGGGGAGGCGUUACCCGCAGAAGAAGCACCGGCUAACUCCGUGCCAGCCGCCGCGGUAAUUC
This 406-nucleotide ribosomal RNA is filed under the name uncultured bacterium. Its description in RNAcentral is "partial 16S ribosomal RNA". It matches the Rfam family "Bacterial small subunit ribosomal RNA", at positions 30 to 526 of the family's 1533-position model. The record is from RNAcentral.